GAUGAACGCUGGCGGCGUGCCUAAUACAUGCAGGUCGAGCGAACAGACGAGAGUGCUUGCACUCUCUGACGUUAGCGGCGGACGGGUGAGUAACACGUGGGUAACCUACCUAUAAGACUGGGAUAACUUCGGGAAACCGGAGCUAAUACCGGAUAAUAUUUAGCUUCGCAUGAAGCAAUAGUGAAAGACGGUUCUGCUGUCACUUAUAGAUGGACCCGCGGUGUAUUAGCUAGUUGGUGAGGUAACGGCUCACCAAGGCAACGAUACAUAGCCGACCUGAGAGGGUGAUCGGCCACACUGGGACUGAGACACGGCCCAGACUCCUACGGGAGGCAGCAGUAGGGAAUCUUCCGCAAUGGACGAAAGUCUGACGGAGCAAUGCCGCGUGAGUGAAGAAGGUUUUCGGAUCGUAAAACUCUGUUGUAAGGGAAGAACAAGCACGUUAGUAACUGAACGUACCUUGACGGUACCUUACCAGAAAGCCACGGCUAACUACGUG
RNAcentral lists this ribosomal RNA (499 nucleotides) under uncultured bacterium. RNAcentral's name for it is "partial 16S ribosomal RNA". It matches the Rfam family "Bacterial small subunit ribosomal RNA", at positions 28 to 507 of the family's 1533-position model. The record is from RNAcentral.